Nemania sp. NC0429 is the source of this 125-nucleotide non-coding RNA. NCBI's taxonomy places the organism in Eukaryota, Fungi, Ascomycota, Sordariomycetes, Xylariales, Xylariaceae. The record is from the annotation of a GenBank genome assembly.
GGACCCAUAGCUCAGCGGUAGAGCAUCUGAUUCCAGCUUAAAAAAUACCAUCUACUAGGGUCUCGGCCCCUGUAAUGUGUAAAACUGCCUCCAGAAGGUCAUCCGUUCAAAUCGGGUUGGGUUCA